This 493-nucleotide ribosomal RNA is filed under the name uncultured bacterium. Its description in RNAcentral is "bacterial SSU rRNA". It matches the Rfam family "Bacterial small subunit ribosomal RNA", at positions 903 to 1397 of the family's 1533-position model. The record is from RNAcentral.
AAAUGAAUAGACGGGGGCCCGCACAAGCGGCGGAGCAUGUGGCUUAAUUCGACGCAACGCGAAGAACCUUACCAGGGCUUGACAUGCCGGGAAAAGCCGUGGAAACACGGUGUGCCCGCGGGCGUCCGGCACAGGUGGUGCAUGGCUGUCGUCAGCUCGUGUCGUGAGAUGUUGGGUCAAGUCCCGCAACGAGCGCAACCCCCGCCCCAUGUUGCCAGCGGUCCGGCCGGGGACUCAUGGGGGACCGCCGCGGUCAACGCGGAGGAAGGUGGGGACGACGUCAAGUCAUCAUGCCCCUCAUGCCCUGGGCUGCACACAUGCUACAAUGGCCGGCACAAUGGGCAGCGAAACCGCAAGGUGGAGCGAAUCCCCAAAACCGGCCCAAGUUCGGAUCGGGGUCUGCAACUCGACCCCGUGAAGCCGGAGUCGCUAGUAAUCGCGGAUCAGCAACGCCGCGGUGAAUACGUUCCCGGGCCUUGUACACACCGCCCGU